RNAcentral lists this ribosomal RNA (581 nucleotides) under uncultured Arthrobacter sp. Its description in RNAcentral is "bacterial SSU rRNA". It matches the Rfam family "Bacterial small subunit ribosomal RNA", at positions 771 to 1350 of the family's 1533-position model. Lineage: Bacteria; Bacillati; Actinomycetota; Actinomycetes; Micrococcales; Micrococcaceae. The record is from RNAcentral.
AACCGGAUUAGAUACCCUGGUAGUCCAUGCCGUAAACGUUGGCACUAGGUGUGGGGGACAUUCCACGUUUUUCCGCGCCGUAGCUAACGCAUUAAGUGCCCCGCCUGGGGAGUACGGCCGCAAGGCUAAAACUCAAAGGAAUUGACGGGGGCCCGCACAAGCGGCGGAGCAUGCGGAUUAAUUCGAUGCAACGCGAAGAACCUUACCAAGGCUUGACAUGGACCGGACCGCUGCAGAAAUGUGGUUUCCCCUUUGGGGCCGGUUCACAGGUGGUGCAUGGUUGUCGUCAGCUCGUGUCGUGAGAUGUUGGGUUAAGUCCCGCAACGAGCGCAACCCUCGUUCCAUGUUGCCAGCGCGUAAUGGCGGGGACUCAUGGGAGACUGCCGGGGUCAACUCGGAGGAAGGUGGGGACGACGUCAAAUCAUCAUGCCCCUUAUGUCUUGGGCUUCACGCAUGCUACAAUGGCCGGUACAAAGGGUUGCGAUACUGUGAGGUGGAGCUAAUCCCAAAAAGCCGGUCUCAGUUCGGAUUGGGGUCUGCAACUCGACCCCAUGAAGUCGGAGUCGCUAGAAUCGCAGAUU